CUGCAGAAAGGCAGGAUGUCAUGACAGCAGGGCUGGAAGGACAGACAUCCAGAUGCUCUUCACCUUCCUAAUGACAGCCCUAUGGAGCAGCAAUGGGCCCUCAGCGAAGCAAGAGAAGAUGGACUAUUGACCCAGGAAGAGGGGAUGGGGCACUAGGGAAAUGCAUGCUGAGGCAGUCACAGCACCUGAACACAGGCUGGAGAGUGGAAAUUCCCAUCGGGAGAAAGCAAACAUGAUGGAUGGCAUUCCCAUCACCCAUCCCUGCA
Molecule: long non-coding RNA, 266 nt
Organism: Pezoporus flaviventris
Lineage: Eukaryota; Metazoa; Chordata; Aves; Psittaciformes; Psittacidae
Exons: 2
Source: RefSeq, a predicted model, not a curated record